This 728-nucleotide ribosomal RNA is filed under the name uncultured bacterium. Its description in RNAcentral is "bacterial SSU rRNA". It matches the Rfam family "Bacterial small subunit ribosomal RNA", at positions 28 to 749 of the family's 1533-position model. The record is from RNAcentral.
GAUGAACGCUAGCUACAGGCUUAACACAUGCAAGUCGAGGGGCAGCAGGAUGUAGCAAUACAUUGCUGGCGACCGGCGCACGGGUGAGUAACACGUAUCCUACCUGCCUUUUACUCGGGGAUAGGCUUUCGAAAGAAAGAUUAAUACCCGAUGGUAUAAUAUUUCCGCGUGGGAUUAUUAUUAGAGAAUUACGGUAAAAGAUGGGGAUGCGUUCCAUUAGGUAGUUGGCGAGGUAACGGCCCACCAAACCUUCGAUGGAUAGGGGUUCUGAGAGGAAGGUCCCCCACAUUGUAACUGAGACACGGGCCACACUCCUACGGGAGGCACCACUGAGGAAUAUUGGUCAAUGGGCGGAAGCCUGAACCAGCCAAGUAUCGUGAAGGAUGACUGCCCUAUGGAUUGUAAACUUCUUUUAUAGGGGAAUAAAGUGAGCCACGUGUGGCUUUUUGUAUGUACCCUAUGAAUAAGGAUCGGCUAACUCCGUGCCAGCAGCCGCGGUAAUACGGAGAGAUCCGAGCGUUAUCCGGAUUUAUUGUGUUUAAAGGGAGCGUAGGUGGACAUGUAAGUCAGUUGUGAAAGUUUGCGGCUCAACCGUAUGAUUGCAGUUGAUACUGUGUGUCUUGAGUACAAUACAGGUGGACGGAAUUCUUGAUGUAUCGGUGACAUGCUUAUAUAUCACAAACAACUCCGAUUGCGAAGGCUGCUCACUGUACUGUUACUGACACUGA